GGCCUUGGAUGAUAAGGUCCAGUUACCAGGAGCACUAGUCUGCAGCUUACUGGUUCCGUCCUGCAGCUCCUCCACGCCGUCCUCCUCUCUACAGACCAAAUCAAGAAAAGGGAACCAGGAAGCUGCUGUGCAUCCUCUGCAGUAUCUGGAGAGGUCAGAGGAACGGUUCUUGGAACAGAUCGGAAGACACCAAGACAUGACCUCUGCCAUGCUCCAGAACAUCCAGAAGAUGAAUGAAAACCUUGGCUGCACUGAUGGGACGCAUGGUGUCGGUGCUGGAGCAACUGUCCCAGAAUUAAACUGCAUUGUUGACUAUUGGCUUUUCUAGAAAAUAAAUCUUUUUUAGUACUUCACCUGUUUUGUAUUUUACUCAUGCACUUCGGGUGAAUAAACAGAAAUUUGUGAUGAGA
Acanthochromis polyacanthus (spiny chromis) is the source of this 410-nucleotide long non-coding RNA. RefSeq lists it as uncharacterized. The record is from RefSeq and is a predicted model, not a curated record. NCBI's taxonomy places the organism in Eukaryota, Metazoa, Chordata, Actinopteri, Pomacentridae. The transcript is spliced from 2 exons.